RNAcentral lists this long non-coding RNA (1954 nucleotides) under Mus pahari (shrew mouse). RNAcentral describes it as "lncRNA (MGP_PahariEiJ_G0003358.1)". Lineage: Eukaryota; Metazoa; Chordata; Mammalia; Rodentia; Muridae. The record is from RNAcentral.
AGAGCCCCAACCAGACUGUCUGGUGAAUCUGGACAAGAUGGCCCUUCUGAGUCAGUCUGGACUUCAGACUGAGGCGCACUCCUUAUACUGAAGACCAGCUGAGACAUCAGCUUUGUGGACGGAACAAUUUCUGGAUUCUUGGACUUUUUGUUUACAGCCUGCCAUUGUUGGAUUAGCUACUAGCUGGGUCACAACACCCAGAAUCCUUUUGUUUCUUCUUCUUGCCAAAUUCCUUCCUAGAACGUCCAACUCACUGUUGAAUAGAAGUAUCUAUUGAAGGUAGUAUUCUCAUCUUCCUAUUCAUCUGUGGGCUUUCGUGGAUGCCCUCUAUCGGCAGGAGGUAUGUUCCUUCUUGAUCCUCCCUCAACAACUGUUUUCCUUAUGAAGAGGUACUAGAUUUAUGUACCCCAUACUUUGUGUGUCUAUUGGGAUGGCCAAGUGUUUUUUAAACAUUUAUCUCACUAAGAUGUGCCUUAUUAAUUUUCUGCAUCGGUCUUGUUUUUGAGGCAGCCUGUCCCCGAGUCUAGCUCUUCACAUCUUGAUGCCUUAGGUUCCUAGGGUGAACCUCGAAUGUUAAGAGGAUCUUAAUCUUGUGCUGCUGCAAGAUCCCUCUGCUAUCUCUUUGUCGAAGCCUUGCAUCUGUAUCAGUAAGAUCUUCGGUCUGUGGUUUCCUGUUUGUGUCUUUACCUUUUGACACCAGGCUGAGCUACAGUUGCGCCCUAGGCUCAAAGGCUCAUCUGCUCUCUGUGCAGGGCCCCAGCCUCCAGAGUCAGUGCUCCCUCAGGACGUCCCUCUCACGUAGUCCAGUUCCAGAGACCAAGCUCCUGUCGAUUCAGAUCAUGAGUGUUGCGGAGCUGCUCUGUGCAGCAAGAACCUUCCAAACCCUCACAGUCUGGAGCACCUCAGGGCCCUUUUGGUGGGGGCUUCCACCUCUCUGAAGGGAGAGGAAAGGAGAUUCCUUAUGAAUGGCUUACAUUACCCGUGGGUAACCAAGUGGAUAACUAACUCACAGUCACGUCAGGGAUGGGAUGGAGGACAUAAAUUGGUGGGGUCACUUUGGCUUUUACCAGUGAAGUGGAGGCUGCAAUUUCAUAGCCAGACAACUUGACAUGGGAACCCGAGGGGACGGGGGAAUCGUCCUCCAUGCAGCAAAGCUGAAUGGAACCCAACUGUACGUUAAUGGGAGACAUAAACGGCAAACUGUGGUGCAUUCGUGGGGAAAAGAAACGGCAAACUCUGCGUUAGCAGGAGAGAUGAAAUGUGGUAGGAACAGUGUGAGAGACCAACGCCUUUGUAGUAGUAAAGAUGUGCAAACCAUGGCUCAUGUUUCGAUGUAGCAAAGUCCCCGACAAGGGCUGGAGGACCACACCCCUUAAAAGAUGCACAGAAUUGCCUAUACCAAGGCAAGCAAACAAAACAAAACAAAACAACAACAACAACAACAACAACAAAACUAUAGGCAACAUAUAAAGAAGGGAAGGGAUGGAGAAUGGGAAUGUUCCAGAUAGGAUUGCUGGGGAUGACAGGGGCGGAAAAAGACCAGAAGAAAUAGCCACGGGGUCUGUAUGAGGAGGGGCGGACAGCUGGGCUGGGCUGGGUGCUGUCACAGCACUGUCACAGCACCCAGCCUAGCCCAGCUGUCCCUUGCAUCAUCGUUUGCACAAUUUAUAUGUUCUUUCAGGUACAGAAAAAAAUGUUUUAUACCUUGAUGUUAGGCAAUACUUCCUGAGAGCCUGGGCUAGCCUGGGCUACAACUCUUCUCCCUUCCUCCAGGUUCCUUCAUGCUAAAAACAGAUUUAAGCAAAACCCCCGCUAAGAGCUAAGACAGCAAGAAUGAGCCCUGGGGACAUACUGAGAGAAGCUCAGAAGGAGAGAAAAUGCCAAGCAAGGCCUGCUGGGAAGCCACCAGAAAAGAGAAGCCUCCCCUAGAGAAGGACACAUGACCCAGAUUGCU